RNAcentral lists this microRNA precursor (59 nucleotides) under Python bivittatus (Burmese python). RNAcentral's name for it is "Pbv-Mir-133-P2-v1_pre stem-loop". It matches the Rfam family "mir-133 microRNA precursor family", at positions 15 to 70 of the family's 74-position model. From Rfam's summary of the family: mir-133 was first experimentally characterised in mouse and homologues have since been discovered in several other species. The mature sequence is excised from the 3' arm of the hairpin. Lineage: Eukaryota; Metazoa; Chordata; Lepidosauria; Squamata; Pythonidae. The record is from RNAcentral.
GCUGGUCAAAAGGAACCAAGGCCGUCUUUCCUGGAGGUUUGGUCCCCUUCAACCAGCUA